RNAcentral lists this ribosomal RNA (710 nucleotides) under Clostridium perfringens. Its description in RNAcentral is "bacterial LSU rRNA". It matches the Rfam family "Bacterial large subunit ribosomal RNA", at positions 66 to 781 of the family's 2925-position model. Lineage: Bacteria; Bacillati; Bacillota; Clostridia; Eubacteriales; Clostridiaceae. The record is from RNAcentral.
CUGCGAUAAGCUUCGGGUAGGCGCACAUAGCCUGAGAUCCGAAGAUUUCCGAAUGAGGAAACUCACAUGGGAAACCCCAUGUAUCAUUAAGUGAAUACAUAGCUUAAUGAAGGUAACCCAGGGAACUGAAACAUCUAAGUACCUGGAGGAAGAGAAAGAAAAAUCGAUUUUCUUAGUAGCGGCGAGCGAAAGGGAAAGAGCCCAAACCGGAAACUUGUUUCCGGGGUUGUGGACAUAACAUAAAAGUGGAGGCUAUUGUAACUGAAGAGAACUGGAAAGUUCCACCGUAGAAGGUAAUAGUCCUGUAAGUGAAACGAGAAGACCACGAGUUAUGAUCCAGAGUACCACGAGACACGUGAAACCUUGUGGGAAGCAGGGAGGACCACCUCCCAAGGCUAAAUACUACCUGAUGACCAAUAGUGAAGCAGUACCGUGAGGGAAAGGUGAAAAGAACCCCGGGAGGGGAGUGAAAUAGAACCUGAAACCGUGUGCCUACAACCGCUCAGAGCCCCUUAUGAGGGUGAUGAGGUGCUUUUUGUAGAACGAGCCAACGAGUUACGGUAUGUAGCAAGGUUAAGUACUUAAGGUACGGAGCCGAAGGGAAACCGAGUCUGAAUAGGGCGACUAGUUGCAUGCCGUAGACCCGAAACCGGGUGACCUAUCCAUGGCCAGGUUGAAGCGAGGGUAAAACCUCGUGGAGGACCGAACCA